CUCUCGACUUUAUUUCCGUGGUAAUGAGUUCAUGAAGGUUACACCAAGAAGGUUACACUCGAGAACUCGAGCGAGUCUUAGUGCUAAUUGGAUGGACGCAAUAAAUACGAAUCCCUACAAGGUCAUCUUCAUGGCAGACGAACGUCCAAUUAGUAAGCUCGUCACCAAUAAGAAAAGUAGCAUGGCCCUCAAGGUUCAAAACGCGGAACUUUGUAGGCAAGAAUUUAGGGGCGAACUUUGAGUUGGGGGUGUUGUUCCUCAUAAUCACCAAGUUGCCCGGCUUGAUGAUUGGCGGGUUUGUUUUGGGUUUAUCGUCGAAGAAGUGUUUGAACUUGGUGGAGUGGAAUGGAGGACCAUUAUCCAAGCGUUGUCGCUCCGGAAACCCAAAAUUUGUAAAAAUGUCCUCUAUUGCGGCAAUGGUGUGGGAUGCUGAUGUUGAUGGAACAAAUGCUGCGGAGGGGAACCGGGAAAGAUCGCAGCGAACCACCAACACAAAUGACCGAUCCCACAAAGGCCCAAAACGGUCAAUAGAGACCGCCUCCCAUGCUCUGUCUGGGACCGGGUGAGACUUUUGACACACUUUAGAUGGCUUCUCAGUUAGUUGUUGACACUUUCCGCAUCCUUGCACCUACUUUUCUAUCUUCUUGUCCAUCAAAGGAAACCAAACAAUGCUACGCAGCCUUCACUUCAUUGCCAAAAAACCUCAGGUGUGCUGCACCAUGGGCAAGGUGGAGGUCUCUUUCCACCAGUUCCUUAGGAAGCACGAUCCGAGACCCCCUCAGAAUGUUGCCUUGUUCUGAAAUGUUCCUUGUCCUUUUGUGUGGCGGCACCAAUUGUGGACGAAUCUAGCGCCUGGCAAACGUCUCCAUCUAAUGUCAGCUCGAAUUGAGCCUGGCCUUGUUCCCUUGAAAAUUGGCACAAAUGGCUUAUGGUCCGUAAUAACGUAGACAUCCGGAUUCCCAACCAG
Molecule: long non-coding RNA, 967 nt
Organism: Tigriopus californicus
Lineage: Eukaryota; Metazoa; Arthropoda; Copepoda; Harpacticoida; Harpacticidae
Exons: 4
Source: RefSeq, a predicted model, not a curated record